GACGAACCGUGCAAACGUUAUUCGGAAUCACUGGGCAUAAAGGGCGCGUAGGCGGCUCAACAAGUCAGGGGUGAAAUCCGGCAGCUUAACUGUCGCAGUGCCUUUGAUACUGUCGAGCUCGAGGGAUGUAGGGGUCUGUGGAACUUCCGGUGGAGCGGUGAAAUGCGUUGAUAUCGGAAGGAACGCCGGUGGCGAAAGCGACGGACUGGACAUUUUCUGACGCUGAGGCGCGAAAGCCAGGGGAGCAAACGGG
RNAcentral lists this ribosomal RNA (253 nucleotides) under uncultured bacterium. RNAcentral's name for it is "partial 16S ribosomal RNA". It matches the Rfam family "Bacterial small subunit ribosomal RNA", at positions 524 to 776 of the family's 1533-position model. The record is from RNAcentral.